AGUUAUAAUUUCAUGGGAUGUGUUUUGUUAAUUGGAUAACUGUGGUAAUUCUAGAGCUAAUACAUGCAUAUACGUUCGGUUUCGGCUGGAUGUGCUUUUAUUAGUGCAAACCAUGUCUUCGGACUUCAUGGUGAUGACUCUGAAUAACUUCGCCGAGCAUUUCAGCCUUGCGCUGGUGCUAUUCCUUCAAAGUAUCUGCUCUAUCAACUGUCGAUGGUAUAUUAUAUGUUUACCAUGGUUGUAACGGGUAACGGGGAAUUAGGGUUCGAUUCCGGAGAGGGAGCCUGAGAAACGG
RNAcentral lists this ribosomal RNA (295 nucleotides) under Orthohalarachne diminuata. RNAcentral's name for it is "partial small subunit ribosomal RNA". It matches the Rfam family "Eukaryotic small subunit ribosomal RNA", at positions 108 to 406 of the family's 1831-position model. The record is from RNAcentral. Lineage: Eukaryota; Metazoa; Arthropoda; Arachnida; Mesostigmata; Halarachnidae.